CUUGGUCAUUUAGAGGAAGUAAAAGUCGUAACAAGGUUUCCGUAGGUGAACCUGCGGAAGGAUCAUUAUUGAUUUGAAAUCAAGGUUGUUGCUGGUUCUCUUGGGAACAUGUGCACACCUUGACCUUCUAUUCCACACCCCUGUGCACUACUGUAGACCGAAAGUGGGUGUAACAAUCUACUGGAGGACUAUGUAUUUUUUAUAAACGAAUGUCAAUGAAUGUCUUCUAUCUUUAUCGUCCUAAGAAAGCGAUUAAAGUUUAAAUACAACUUUCAACAACGGAUCUCUUGGCUCUCGCAUCGAUGAAGAACGCAGCGAAAUGCGAUAAGUAAUGUGAAUUGCAGAUUUUCAGUGAAUCAUCGAAUCUUUGAACGCACCUUGCGCCUCGUGGUAUUCCGCGAGGCAUGCCUGUUUGAGUGUCAUUAAAUUAUCAACCUCAAAAGCUUUAUAACUUUUGAUAGCUUGGACUUGAGGUGUGCUGGACUUUUAUUAGUUCGGCUCCCUUUUAAAUGCAUUAGCAGAGCAACUCGCUUCCGGCUAACAUUGACGUGAUAAUUAUCUUACGUUGUUGUCUACCAGUUCCAGAGUCUGCUUAUAAUGGUCUUAGGACAACACAUAAUGACAAUUUGACCUCAAAUCAGGUAGGACUACCCGCUGAACUUAAGCAUAUCAAUAAGCGGAGGAA
This 685-nucleotide ribosomal RNA is filed under the name uncultured fungus. Its description in RNAcentral is "eukaryotic LSU rRNA". The stretch from base 268 to 422 matches the Rfam family "5.8S ribosomal RNA". The record is from RNAcentral. Lineage: Eukaryota; Fungi.